Molecule: long non-coding RNA, 611 nt
Organism: Anas platyrhynchos (mallard)
Lineage: Eukaryota; Metazoa; Chordata; Aves; Anseriformes; Anatidae
Source: RefSeq, a predicted model, not a curated record
CAAUUUUCCUGGAAUGUCUGUCUGAAUCAGACACUGAAUUUCACAGACCAGCAUAAACACAGGUAUUCUAGUUUUUCUUUCGGGAUCAAUUCACAGCACAACCUCUGCAGGAUCUGUUUUGGAAUUCCUGCAUCAUAACCUGCUUUGUUUCAAGAAGCCUUUGUAAUAGCAGAACAAUUAGCCUCAGUGUUUUCAUACUGCAACAUUGUCAGCCCAAGAGAGGAAGAUACACAAUGCAAAUGAUGACCUGAGGACUCGAGAAUUUAAUAAGCAAAAACACCACAUGCAAACUCUGGUGGGUAGAGAUUCCUCUAAUAUGCAUGAGUGUUGGUUUUAGACUGAGAUGGAGUGAUCUUGCUAAAAUAAAUCGUUGCGUAAUGGCGGAGCAUCCCUCCCUUACCUGUCGGACUCGGAUGGCCCGGCUCUGGGCUGGCCUGUGCCGUGUCCGCCCGCCGCUCUGACCCUGCAGCUAUGGACAUGCAGAAACACCCUGGAAGAAAGCCAGCGCUCUGGUUUUUAGCCAGAAUCAAAGCAUGCGUCUGUAUGACACAAGCAUUUGUGCUGCACGAUAAUGGUGUUUGUGGCAUCUAAUAAACUCAUUGUCUGGUUCA